GCCAUAUCAUAAAGAAUCAGUUUUAAAGUGCCUUCCUGCAGCUUUCCAGGAGCACCAGACCGAUC
Non-coding RNA from Pteropus alecto (black flying fox), 65 nucleotides. The record is from Rfam. Lineage: Eukaryota; Metazoa; Chordata; Mammalia; Chiroptera; Pteropodidae.